UGGGGGAUAUUGCACAAUGGGGGGAACCCUGAUGCAGCGACGCCGCGUGGGUGAAGGAGUAUUUCGGUAUGUAAAGCCCUAUCGGCAGGGAAGAAUUUAGACGGUACCUGACUAAGAAGCCCCGGCUAACUACGUGCC
RNAcentral lists this ribosomal RNA (138 nucleotides) under uncultured bacterium. RNAcentral describes it as "partial 16S ribosomal RNA". It matches the Rfam family "Bacterial small subunit ribosomal RNA", at positions 355 to 509 of the family's 1533-position model. The record is from RNAcentral.